Eurytemora carolleeae is the source of this 663-nucleotide long non-coding RNA. RefSeq lists it as uncharacterized. Lineage: Eukaryota; Metazoa; Arthropoda; Copepoda; Calanoida; Temoridae. The transcript is spliced from 2 exons. The record is from RefSeq and is a predicted model, not a curated record.
AGAGGAUUGUAUGGAGAUUAUGCCGGAUGGGCACAUUCUGUUCUGUUUAGUGCAGAUUUAAGGCACCUACAGGCACUCAAACUGCAAGGCGAACCAGUGGAGAAUUUAAGUGGUACAAAAAAGUCCAGUAAAAUAACCAAAGAUGAGAAAAAAAGUACAAAUACAAAGAAGAAAACUCAACUUGUUAAACAAGAAAAAACUGCUAGAAUGAAAAAGACUGAAAAAGAAAUAAUUGGAGUUAAAAGAAAAGGUUUUCAUCCAAAGAUUGGAAAAAGUAAAAAGAUGAAAUAAUCAAAUGAACAAUCUAUCAAUGCUUCUUUAAUUUAAAGGGACUAUAAGUGUAAUUUCAAGUGACCUUCCACGCAAAGACAGGAAAAGACAAUGCCUGAUUUAAUUUUAACAAUUUCUAUAUGUUUCCCUUCAGAGUUGAAAUGUGUUAUUCACCACAGUCAAGAAUAAUCAGUUUUCACAGGUAUAAACAUUAUACAUUGAUAUCUAAUCCAUACUUCAUCAGACAAAAUUUGAAAGGAACUGCCAUGAAUCAGGAUUUGUCAUCUUUGCAUGGAGGGUCACUUAAAAGUACGCUUACAACCCUUUCAAUAAUAAAAAUACCUCCUCAAUGAAGAAAUAUAUUCUAUAAAAUACUCUUAUCUUUUCAGAAAA